UAUGUGAUCGUCUCUCGCAUAUCAAUAAGCGGAGGAAAAGAAACUAACAAGGAUUCCCCUAGUAACGGCGAGUGAAGCGGGAAGAGCUCAAAUUUGAAAUCUUAAAGGGUUUCCCUUUACGAAUUGUAGUUUAAAGAAGUGUUUUCUGUUGAGGUUUUGGUAAAAGUUCUUUGGAAUAGGACAUCAUAGAGGGUGAGAAUCCCGUAUUUGACCUUUACUUUCAACUUUGUGAUACACUUUCAAAGAGUCGGAUUGUUUGGGAAUGCAGUCCAAAAUGGGUGGUAAAUUUCAUCUAAAGCUAAAUAUUGGCGAGAGACCGAUAGCGAACAAGUACCGUGAGGGAAAGAUGAAAAGAACUUUGAAAAGAGAGUUAAACAGUACGUGAAAUUGUCAAAAGGGAAGCGUUAGACACCAGUGUUGUUUUUCUGAAAAUCAAUUAAAGAACUGUUUAUGCUAAGUUGUUUAGACUUUAUCAGCUAACUGUUUAGUUUUGAGCUUUUCUUUAAUGCACUUUUCAGUUAACAAGUCAACAUCAAUUUCUUUUGCUGUAAAAAAGCUUGAGGAAGGUGGCUUGAGAUUCGUCUUAAGUGUUUAUAGCCUCUUGCCUAUGCAGUCGGAGAGAUUGAGGUCUGCAGCGUAGAUCCUUCGGGGCUAAAUGCAUUUGUGCUAAGUUAUAGCAUUUUAUAGGCAACUUGUUGACUAUGAUUUGUCUUGUAGCUUACUCGCUUAUGUUAUUUUACCUACGCUUAGGAUGUUGAUCUACAGAGCGAGAGU
RNAcentral lists this ribosomal RNA (774 nucleotides) under uncultured Neocallimastigales. RNAcentral describes it as "partial large subunit ribosomal RNA". It matches the Rfam family "Eukaryotic large subunit ribosomal RNA", at positions 24 to 631 of the family's 3401-position model. The record is from RNAcentral. Lineage: Eukaryota; Fungi; Neocallimastigomycota; Neocallimastigomycetes; Neocallimastigales.